Anarrhichthys ocellatus (wolf-eel) is the source of this 969-nucleotide long non-coding RNA. RefSeq lists it as uncharacterized. The transcript is spliced from 2 exons. The record is from RefSeq and is a predicted model, not a curated record. Lineage: Eukaryota; Metazoa; Chordata; Actinopteri; Perciformes; Anarhichadidae.
AGAUUCAAUUUAGAGGAGCCAUCCGACACGGAAACCGCUUCAGUCUCUUCUCCCGCAUCGACCAAACUAACGAGCACCAUUUUAUACUGAUGACUGUUUGUUUAAAUUCUGUUUUACAUGACUUGGACGGCAAAUCUUUGAGAGUUGCCAAAGUUGGAUUUACUUUUUGCCACUUCAGGCAGUCCCUGCGGUGGUAUUUAGAGCAAUUAUUUCUUUAUUCUAAAACAAAUGAGCCAAUUACAUUUAGUCUGCAUUACUAUUUUGUCGGUUUUAUUUACAGAAGUCGUGAAAAUGAAGAGCCUGACAAUAAAAACACUCCGAAACGUAUUCAUUUAUCGAGGAUCCAGCGUCCUUUAAAUGGAACUACUGCUGAAGUACCCUUCGGCAAAGCAGCUUAAACCCCAUCUGUCCCAGUGGAGCUGCACAGCGACCGGCAGUACAAGACUGCGGUUGUACCGGGAACUUGUGAGAUGUGUCUCUUUGAGAGUGACCUACCUCCGCUUUUUUUCUUUUUAAAAGACGGAGAGUGGGCAGUCCACUCGCCUCACACUUUUUUUCUUCCAUGUACUCAGACAGUGAAAAGUUUUGAAGACACAAGAGAGAAAGCUGUGGCAGCCUUCAGUCCUGAGCCAGACACAGUUCACAUGUGGCCCCAAAGGCAGCAGACGGUGUAUUGAAUUACUGUAACUCAAGGUGUAAUGUGGUAGCAGUGUGGGAUAUGUAAGAAUUACACAAACGGAAGUAGAGGCGGCUUACUUCAGCUUCAGCUUUCUAUCGCAGCCAUAAAAUGUUGAAUUGUGUUUAUUUUCUUAAAUUUCAGCCGUAACCUUUCAUUGGCAAAAAUAGCAGCCACACUUUCUACAGUGAUAAUCAAUGUCUCAUUAUCAUUAGAUUUACCAAUUACAUCGAACUGCUAUUUAGAAAUACAAGGUUUAUAAAAGUAGGAGAAACAACUUCAAACCCUGCAUG